Long non-coding RNA from Carassius gibelio (silver crucian carp), 1815 nucleotides. RefSeq lists it as uncharacterized. The record is from RefSeq and is a predicted model, not a curated record. NCBI's taxonomy places the organism in Eukaryota, Metazoa, Chordata, Actinopteri, Cypriniformes, Cyprinidae. The transcript is spliced from 5 exons.
UGCAUUUGAUACAACACUAUUUGACUAUUUGUUAACUUUGUUUUCCCAUCCUUGCAGCCUUAGUGGCAUCUGCAAGAAAGGAAGACAGUCAGACAGAGAUUUCUUCGCACUGAUGAAUUAGACCAGGAGCAUGUUUUCACAAAAACAUCGAUGGCUCAGAAAAUGAGGAGCAAAAAAGACUUUCUGUAGGACAGCACACAAAACUAGAAUGCCUUUCAGCAAUAUUUUCUGAAGAGUAGCAAACAAGGCCAGUGUGGCCUUUUCGUCCAGGGGACUACUUAAAUAUUCAAGUGAGAGGAGGCCAGUGGAGGAAAGCUCUCAGUAAGACACCUGGAAGGCACAAUGGAGCUCAGGACUGUGUGAUACAACCACCAUCAGCUUCUCAAGGCAUACAGUUCUACUGGCUGAUAAUGAGAUGAAGAACCCGGUGUCCAGACGUGAACGCUCAGAUGAAGUCCGGCCGACAGACAGCCCAGCCAUGGCCACUACAUCCUGAAUCUAGGCAAAUAGGAGCCGGGCAGUCAGCCUUCGAGGGAAAGAUCCGCUCAAUUACUUCCCCAACUUUCAGCUGAGGUCUUCUUACUGACCGGCUGAGAGGAUCUGUAAUGAGAGCGGAUUUAGAAUAAAAAGAUGUGCCCAUCUACAAAAGCAGAAGGGAGCUUGGCCUCGCAUUGAUGGCUGGAAAUGGUGGGGAGGUCAAGGCGAAUCUGUGAAGCGUCGCUCCGGUGAAGGAUAUGGCAGAACGGCCCAGCAGAUACAGAGAGAAAGGUGGUCCGCUUCCCAGCUCAUCCAAAGCCUCAUAAGCAACAUAAAUGGAGCUUUGCUCCACUCGUCUACACUCUGGAAAGACCUUAAUGGCCCCCAUUAACACAAACCAAGAGGAGGUCUUAUGGAAGGCAGCCACAGAGUUACUCAAAAGCUGAAAAUCAGAGGCUGAAGACUUGGAAGAACCAGAUUUUCUUUGAACCAAAGAAGAGGACCUUUCUUUCUUCUUUACCGUUUAGAUUAUUAUAAAUGCACCUAAAUCUUUGCCUAUUUAGCUAUAUUAAUAUAUAAAUGUUCCAAAAUUGAUUUCAGUACUUUAGCAAUAAAUUAUGCAUUGAAUUGAAAAAAAUAUAAUAUGACAAAAACGGAUGAAUCAAGUACAUACCAUCACUUCCUGGAUUUGGCAAAGUUAGUGUAUUACUAGCUUCUCAUUUCAAGAUCAUUCGGAAUUUUGACUUCUGUCCUCAUAUGAUCUAAACAACAUGCCAAUUAAAUGGUCUGUGAACUAAUCAGCCUCAGAAACACUUUCAAAGGAAAUUGAUUAUUUCUGAAAGAAAACAUGAAAUUAGUCUUGUACUUCUUGCCUUAUUUCAGAGAAUAGAAAUCAUGCUUAUGCUAUCUAAUUCAAACCGGUGCUAGCUCGCUCGGAGAGGAAGGACAUCAGAAGUUAAUUACACUCAGCUGUGAAUUGAAACCAUAUCUAAUUGCAUGCUGGAUUAAUUACAAGCAUCUGUGGUGUGCAUGCCUAAACAAGAGCCCUCAUAAAUAACAGCAGGUACAUCAGCACAGAUGGGAAUUCUCCAGCACAGAAAAAAUGCUACUACUGUACUUCUUGUUUGGUAAGACUUAGAAUCUUAGUAUCUUGGAAUCGUUAUAUUUUCUGAACCUAUUUAUCCUGGUAUUAAUAUUUGUCUCUGGCCAGCUGAGAUAGAUUGCCGUUUAAAGUCUUAAAGUGUCUCCUGUGGCCAAUGUUUGUGUAUGUAUUUACGUGUAAUGUUGUCAGGUUUUCCUUUCUUUACGAUGGCCAAAUGUAUCCAGAUGUUUCUGAGG